CAGCUCGGGCCUCUCCCCACGCAUACGCAUCAAUCUUUCGCCUUUUACUAAAGAUUACCGUGGGGACGGGCAAUCGAAUGAGUCUAUUGGCCAAUUUUCAUGAGGCCCUCUCCGUUUAGAUGGGGC
Small nuclear RNA from Rhipicephalus sanguineus (brown dog tick), 126 nucleotides. RefSeq annotates it as U5 spliceosomal RNA. The transcript has a single exon. NCBI's taxonomy places the organism in Eukaryota, Metazoa, Arthropoda, Arachnida, Ixodida, Ixodidae. The record is from RefSeq and is a predicted model, not a curated record.